This 253-nucleotide ribosomal RNA is filed under the name uncultured bacterium. RNAcentral's name for it is "partial 16S ribosomal RNA". It matches the Rfam family "Bacterial small subunit ribosomal RNA", at positions 524 to 776 of the family's 1533-position model. The record is from RNAcentral.
UACAGAGGUCCCAAGCGUUGUUCGGAUUCACUGGGCGUAAAGGGUGCGUAGGUGGCCAGGUAAGUUCGAUGUGAAAGCUCGGAGCUUAACUCCGAAAAGUCAUUGAAUACUAUCUGGCUGGAGGGUCGGAAGGGAGACUGGAAUUCUCGGUGUAGCAGUGAAAUGCGUAGAUAUCGAGAGGAACACCAGUGGCGAAGGCGAGUCUCUGGACGACACCUGACACUGAGGCACGAAAGCUAGGGGAGCAAACAGG